Mastomys coucha (southern multimammate mouse) is the source of this 628-nucleotide long non-coding RNA. RefSeq lists it as uncharacterized. The record is from RefSeq and is a predicted model, not a curated record. The transcript has 3 exons. Lineage: Eukaryota; Metazoa; Chordata; Mammalia; Rodentia; Muridae.
CUCCAGAAUUCUAUUCCUGGAGCUUACUCCUUCCGGCCUGUUGGGAGAGCUGGAGAUCUACUGAAGAAGAUGACCAAGAGGUGGCAGGGGUCCUGACCUCACAUCCCUCGAUGGCUGAGACAACAUCUAAGAGCCUGAGUGUUCAUCAGCAUCACAAAUACAGUGGCGUCACCUGGCGUCACCUUCCCAUCGGUCCCAGGAGCUGUGAGGUACCACCAAGGACAAAGCAGUAUGCCCAUCCUUGGACCACCCUGGCCUCCUAACCUCCAGGCGAGACCUCAGACCUGCAGAGUACAACUGAACCGUCCCAGUGGUGGCUACAUCAGCACUUCCAGCCCAGAGGAUAGGAACAAAGGUGCUGUAGUGGCAAUCAAUCUGUGACUAUCUUUCAGCACUCCUAUAAUGCUGAACAUGGCCCAUAGCAGAAUCCAAACUAAAGCAGGCAUCAAGAAUACCAGUUCCCAUGCACACAGACAGGGGCUUUAGAUUGGAGAAAAAAAGGCAAAGCCCCCACUAUUCAUCUUAUAUAUCUCUUUUAUUGUAGAGGAACUUGGUUAGGAGAAUUCUUGUGGGUUAAACAUAGGUCCCACCAAAAAAAAAUAAAAAAAUAAAAAAAAAACUUCAUCAA